This 672-nucleotide ribosomal RNA is filed under the name uncultured bacterium. RNAcentral's name for it is "bacterial SSU rRNA". It matches the Rfam family "Bacterial small subunit ribosomal RNA", at positions 94 to 803 of the family's 1533-position model. The record is from RNAcentral.
AGCGGCGGACGGGUGAGUAACGCGUGGGAAUAUGCCCUUCUCUAAGGAAUAGCCUCUGGAAACGGAGAGUAAUACCUUAUACGCCCUUCGGGGGAAAGAUUUAUCGGAGAAGGAUUAGCCCGCGUUAGAUUAGGUAGUUGGUGGGGUAAUGGCCUACCAAGCCUACGAUCUAUAGCUGGUUUGAGAGGAUGAUCAGCCACACUGGGACUGAGACACGGCCCAGACUCCUACGGGAGGCAGCAGUAGGGAAUCUUAUACAAUGGGGGAAACCCUGAUCUAGCCAUGCCGCGUGUGUGAUGAAGGCCUUAGGGUCGUAAAGCACUUUCGCCAGAGAUGAUAAUGACAGUAUCUGGUAAAGAAACCCCGGCUAACUCCGUGCCAGCAGCCGCGGUAAUACGGAGGGGGUUAGCGUUGUUCGGAAUUACUGGGCGUAAAGCGCACGUAGGCGGAUUAGUAAGUUAGAGGUGAAAUCCCAGGGCUCAACCCUGGAACUGCCUUUAAUACUGCUAGUCUUGAGUUCGAGAGAGGUAAGUGGAAUUCCGAGUGUAGAGGUGAAAUUCGUAGAUAUUUGGAGGAACACCAGUGGCGAAAGCUGCUUACUGGCUCGAUACUGACGCUGAUGUGCGAAGUGUGCGAGCAAACAGCAUUAGAUACGCAUGUAGUCGACACUGA